RNAcentral lists this ribosomal RNA (497 nucleotides) under uncultured bacterium. RNAcentral's name for it is "partial 16S ribosomal RNA". It matches the Rfam family "Bacterial small subunit ribosomal RNA", at positions 28 to 507 of the family's 1533-position model. The record is from RNAcentral.
GAUGAACGCUGGCGGCGUGCCUAAUACAUGCAAGUCGAGCGAACAGACGAGGAUCUUGCUCCUCUGACGCUAGCGGCGGACGGGUGAGUAAAACGUGGAUAACCUACCUAUAAGACUGGGAUAACUUCGGGAAACCGGAGCUAAUCCCGGUUAUCAGAUUGAACCGCAUGGUUCAAUAGUGAAAGACGGUCUUGUUGUCACUUAUAGAUGGAUCCGCGCUGCAUUAGCAAGUUGGUAAGGUAACGGCUAUCCAAUGCAACGACGCAUAGCCGACCUGAGAGGGUGGUGGGCCAGACUGGAACUGAUACACGGUCCACACUCCUACGGGAGGCAGCAGUAGGGAAUCUUCCGGAAUGGGCGAAAGCCUGCCGAAGCAGCGCCGCGGGAUUGAUGAAGGUCUUCGGAUGGUAAAACUCUGUUAUUGGGGAAGAACAAAUGUGUAAGUAACUAUGCACGUCUUGAGGGUACCUAAUCAGAAAGCCACGGCUAACUACGUG